AUUAAUAAGCGGAGGAAAAGAAACCAACCGGGAUUCCCCGAGUAAGGGCGACUGAAACGGGACCAGCCCAGCGCAUAACCUCGCGGUCCUUGGCCGGCCGUCGAGGGGUGUUGCGUUCCGGUGGAUCCGUCCCGCUCGAGCCGCUUACCGCCUAAGUCAUUGCUUGAAAGCAGCCCCGAGGAGGGUGAUAGGCCCGUGUGGCGGCGCCUGUAAAAAGGGUCAAGGCGGCCCGGGCGGAGGGAUCUUCACCGUAGAGUCGGGUUGCUUAGUACUGCAGCCCUAAGCAGGUGGUAAACUCCAUCUAAGGCUAAAUACAACCACGAGUCCGAUAGAGAACAAGUACCGUGAGGGAAAGCUGAAAAGGACUUUGAAGAGAGAGUUCAAGAGGACGUGAAACCGUUAGGAGCUUAAACGGGUGGAACCGCGAAGGUCGAACGAGGGGAUUCAGCUCGUGGGCCUCCGGCGCGCAGGCGGCGUUUCAUACGAAUUACCAUGAGAGGACCCGGCGUGAAUUGGAAUUGCCGUGGCCACGCCCCUGCCUCCGGAGUGCCGGCGGGCUUACUUCUCCCUCUAGUAGGUCGCCGCGACCCGUUGCCUCGGACCCCCAGGGCCGUGCUGGAUUGGUAGCCCGGAUCUUACCGUCCGGGUGAUGACCGGCUGCGGUUCCGACGGGCCCGGGCGACGGUCACUGCCAGGAGACCGCGCGCCCGUCCCGGUCUCGGCCGGGACGACGUCAGGCCUCUCGCGGCGUGCAAGGGAUCGGUAAUCCACCCGACCC
RNAcentral lists this ribosomal RNA (778 nucleotides) under Heterocarpus dorsalis. RNAcentral's name for it is "eukaryotic LSU rRNA". It matches the Rfam family "Eukaryotic large subunit ribosomal RNA", at positions 42 to 650 of the family's 3401-position model. Lineage: Eukaryota; Metazoa; Arthropoda; Malacostraca; Decapoda; Pandalidae. The record is from RNAcentral.